GGCUGGUCAGAAUGCAAUGGUGUUUGUAACUAAUCGAUCACAACCAGUUACAGAUUCCUUUGUUCCUUCUUCACUUCCACAGCUUCACUUCACUAGCUUUAA
This is an unclassified non-coding RNA of Otolemur garnettii (small-eared galago), 102 nucleotides long. It matches the Rfam family "Y RNA". From Rfam's summary of the family: Y RNAs are components of the Ro ribonucleoprotein particle (Ro RNP), in association with Ro60 and La proteins. The Y RNAs and Ro60 and La proteins are well conserved, but the function of the Ro RNP is not known. NCBI's taxonomy places the organism in Eukaryota, Metazoa, Chordata, Mammalia, Primates, Galagidae. The record is from Ensembl.